GCAAUAGCCAAGAAGGCUUAUACUCUGAAAAAAUAUUAUGUGCCCACCCAGUAGAAGAACAUUCAAUGUCAGAAUUACCGCACCAGCUGCAAGAACAGCGAAAGCGACAGCAAAGACUUCCGACUUCUUCACAGAUGCAGACCACGAGAGGGUGAGCCCCAGGAACACAAUAAAGAAGAACGGACCCCACAGAUCCCAAUCCCGCAGCGCCUU
This 213-nucleotide unclassified non-coding RNA is filed under the name Hevea brasiliensis (rubber tree). Lineage: Eukaryota; Viridiplantae; Streptophyta; Magnoliopsida; Malpighiales; Euphorbiaceae. The record is from RNAcentral.